Molecule: ribosomal RNA, 550 nt
Filed under: uncultured bacterium
Lineage: Bacteria
Description: bacterial SSU rRNA
Rfam family: Bacterial small subunit ribosomal RNA
Source: RNAcentral
UAGGGAAUCUUCGGCAAUGGGGGGAACCCUGACCGAGCAACGCCGCGUGAGUGAAGAAGGUUUUCGGAUCGUAAAGCUCUGUUGCAAGAGAAGAACGGGUGUGAGAGUGGAAAGUUCACACUGUGACGGUAUCUUACCAGAAAGGGACGGCUAACUACGUGCCAGCAGCCGCGGUAAUACGUAGGUCCCGAGCGUUGUCCGGAUUUAUUGGGCGUAAAGCGAGCGCAGGCGGUUAGAUAAGUCUGAAGUUAAAGGCUGUGGCUUAACCAUAGUAUGCUUUGGAAACUGUUUAACUUGAGUGCAGAAGGGGAGAGUGGAAUUCCACGUGUAGCGGUGAAAUGCGUAGAUAUAUGGAGGAACACCGGUGGCGAAAGCGGCUCUCUGGUCUGUAACUGACGCUGAGGCUCGAAAGCGUGGGGAGCAAACAGGAUUAGAUACCCUGGUAGUCCACGCCGUAAACGAUGAGUGCUAGGUGUUAGGCCCUUUCCGGGGCUUAGUGCCGCAGCUAACGCAUUAAGCACUCCGCCUGGGGAGUACGACCGCAAGGUUG